GUAGGUGGCAAGCGUUGUCCGGAAUUAUUGGGCGUAAAGCGCGCGCAGGCGGUCCUUUAAGUCUGAUGUGAAAGCCCACGGCUCAACCGUGGAGGGUCAUUGGAAACUGGGGGACUUGAGUUCAGAAGAGGAAAGCGGAAUUCCAAGUGUAGCGGUGAAAUGCGUAGAGAUUUGGAGGAACACCAGUGGCGAAGGCGGCUUUCUGGUCUGUAACUGACGCUGAGGCGCGAAAGCGUGGGGAGCAAACAGGAUUAGAUACCCUGGUAGUCCACGCCGUAAACGAUGAGUGCUAAGUGUUAGGGGGUUUCCCGCCCCCCUUAGUGCUGCAGCUAACGCAUUAAGCACUCCGCCUGGGGAGUACGGCCGCAAGGCUG
This 374-nucleotide ribosomal RNA is filed under the name uncultured organism. RNAcentral describes it as "partial 16S ribosomal RNA". It matches the Rfam family "Bacterial small subunit ribosomal RNA", at positions 527 to 896 of the family's 1533-position model. The record is from RNAcentral.